Long non-coding RNA from Dromaius novaehollandiae (emu), 670 nucleotides. RefSeq lists it as uncharacterized. Lineage: Eukaryota; Metazoa; Chordata; Aves; Casuariiformes; Dromaiidae. The transcript is spliced from 2 exons. The record is from RefSeq and is a predicted model, not a curated record.
GCGGCUGAUGUCAGCCGCGGCCGGCAGCGGCCCUGCCUCCUCCUCCUCCUCCUCCUCCUCUUCCUCCCGGCCCGCGGUGCUCGGCGCUGCAGCCGCACCGCAGCCGGGGAGGGGCCCCGGGCCGGUCCCCCGACACGGCGCUCGCCCGUUAACGCGACAGGAGCCAGCACAGCGCUGCCGCUCUCCGACCCACCCCCAGCAAAGGCGUCUGGUUCCACAAUAAGAAACCUCUGCUCUGGCUCCCUGAAGCCCUUUUGCCCUGGGGAGCCUGCAGCGCCGCUGUGAAAGCCCGUGAGCUGGGCACUCAGCCUGGCUCUGCGUAGCGCUGCUUAUCCAGCAGCACCACGUUAACCACCGUUAUCCUCACCGACAGCCCAGGGAAGCGCGAGCCUAAGUCACGGCUUUCAGCAGACUCCAGCAGCUCGGUCUCCAUUCGCGUCCGCCGCGGGACCCCGCGUUCGGAGGGACCGAGAGCCGUGCCCUGCUUGUUAGCGCGUUUCCCUCUGGGGACCUGCACAAAAGCCCCUCUCGAGAGCAAGCAGAGACGCUGCGCAGUGACAAGCCCCAUCAAUAACACCCGGGGAGCUAACCACAAAAGCCUCUCUCCCGAGAGCUAAUUGAUUGGGCAUUUAAAUCCAAAACAAAACCAAUAAACAAGGCUGUAUCCGUG